UACGUAGGGUGCGAGCGUUGUCCGGAAUUAUUGGGCGUAAAGAGCUUGUAGGCGGUUUGUCGCGUCUGCUGUGAAAUCUCAAGGCUCAACCUUGAGCUUGCAGUGGGUACGGGCAGACUAGAGUGUGGUAGGGGAGACUGGAAUUCCUGGUGUAGCGGUGAAAUGCGCAGAUAUCAGGAGGAACACCGAUGGCGAAGGCAGGUCUCUGGGCCACUACUGACGCUGAGAAGCGAAAGCAUGGGGAGCGAGCAGG
This 253-nucleotide ribosomal RNA is filed under the name uncultured bacterium. Its description in RNAcentral is "partial 16S ribosomal RNA". It matches the Rfam family "Bacterial small subunit ribosomal RNA", at positions 524 to 776 of the family's 1533-position model. The record is from RNAcentral.